GUCCUGGAUGGGCUGGAGGAGCACCUGCAGAAUUCCCAAUAUUUCCGAUUCCUCUGGUUCCCCCACACCGAGAACGUUCGCGUCAUCUACCAGGACCCCACGGAGCAGCCUCCCAGCUCCUCCUCCAGCUGGUUUUGGGAUUACGCCGUGGGAUAUCAUCUCCUGGAAUUCCUGCUCUGGAUCAGCUCCUUUUUCCCGGGAUUGGUGGUUUGGAUCAACCGCGUCUUCUUCCGGCUCCUCUUCAGCUCCCGCUCUGAGAGCGUCGACCGCAGCCACCGCCUGCUCAACUACGAGUGCCGCUUCCGCCAGCACGUCCAGGACUGGGCCAUCCCCAUGUACGUCAUUCCCUAAUCCACGGGGGAAUUCCCAAAUCCCAGCCCAGCACUGGGCCAUCCCCAUGGAAUGCCCUAAUCCCCGGGGGAAUGGCCUUGGGAAUUCCCAAAUCCCAGCCCAGUACUGGGCCAUCCCCAUGGAAUUCCCAAAUCCCUGCUCCAUUCCCAUGGGAAUUCCCAAAUCCCAGCCCAGGACUGGGCCAGCCCCAUGGAAUUCCCAAAUCCCCGUGGGAAUUCCCAGAUCCCAGCCCAGCACUGGGCCAGCCCCAUGGAAUUCCCAAAUCCCAGGGGAAUUCCCAAAUCCCAUAUCAUUCCCAAGGAAAUUCCCAGAUCCCGCUCCUUCCCAUGGGAAUUCCCAGAUCCCAAUCCAGGACUGGGCCAUUCCCAUUUAAUUCCCAAAUCCCUGCAGAAUUCCCGUGGGAAUUCCCAGAUCCCAGUCCAGGACUGGGCCAUCCCCAUGUAAUUCCCAAAUCCCCGCUGAAUUCCCGAGGGAAUUCCCAAGUCCCGCUCCAUCCCCAUGGAAUUCCCAAAUCCCCGUUGAAUUCCUGGAGGAAUUCCCAAAUCCCCAUCCUUUUCUAUGGGAAUUCCCAAAUCCCAGCCCAGGACUGGGCCAUCGCCAUGGAAUUCCCUGAUCCCAGUCCUUUCCCGUGGGAAUUGCCAGAUCCCAGUCCAGGACUGGGUCAUUCCCACUCUGUCCCCAUGGGAAUUCCCAAAUCCCAGAUCAGAACAGGGUCAUUCCCAUGGAAUUCCUAAAUCCCGGCCUAGGACUGGGCCAUCCCCAUGGAAUUCCCAAAUUCCCCCCUGGAUUCCCAUGGGAAUUCCCAAAUCCCGCUCCAUCUCCAUGGAAAUUUCCAGAUCCCAGUCCAGGGCUGGGUCCUGCCCAUGGAAUUCCCAAAGUCCCGCUCCCUUUCCGUGGAACUCCUCCCAUUCCUGAUCCCAACCCCAGGAACCCAACCCCUCCCAUCCCAAACCCCACAUGAUCCCACGGGAAGAACAUUCCAGAACAUUCCGGGAUUUCCAUGGGAUGGAGAUCCUGCAGAUCCCAAAUCCCAAACCCCUCCCAUCCCAAACCCCACAUGAUCCCACAGGAGGAACAUUCCAGAACAUUCCCAGAUUUCCAUAGGGUGGAGAUCCUGCAGAUCCCAAAUCCCAAACCCCUCCCAUCCCAAACCCCACCCAAUCCCAUGGGAAGAACAUUCCAGAACAUUCCGGGAAUUCCAGAGGAUGGAGAUCCCUGCAGAUCCCAACCCCAGGAUCCCAAACCCAUGGGAAGAGGAGACACCAUUCCCACUGGGAAUCUGGGCACAGGGAUCCCUCCAGAUCCCAACCCUGGGUCCCAAACCCGGUGUGAUCCCAUGGGAGGAACAUUCCAGAACAUUCCCGGAUUUCCAU
This 1724-nucleotide long non-coding RNA is filed under the name Serinus canaria (Common canary). Its description in RNAcentral is "lncRNA (ENSSCAG00000007397.1)". Lineage: Eukaryota; Metazoa; Chordata; Aves; Passeriformes; Fringillidae. The record is from RNAcentral.